UACGGAGGAUGCAAGCGUUAUCCGGAAUGAUUGGGCGUAAAGCGUCCGCAGGUGGCUAUGUAAGUCUGCUGUUAAAGAGCAAGGCUCAACCUUGUAAAGGCAGUGGAAACUACAUGGCUAGAGUGCGUUCGGGGCAGAGGGAAUUCCUGGUGUAGCGGUGAAAUGCGUAGAGAUCAGGAAGAACACCGGUGGUGAAGGCGCUCUGCUAGGCCGCAACUGACACUGAGGGACGAAAGCUAGGGGAGCGAAUGGG
This 253-nucleotide ribosomal RNA is filed under the name uncultured bacterium. RNAcentral's name for it is "partial 16S ribosomal RNA". It matches the Rfam family "Bacterial small subunit ribosomal RNA", at positions 524 to 776 of the family's 1533-position model. The record is from RNAcentral.